AUUGAACGCUGGCGGCAGGCCUAACACAUGCAAGUCGAGCGGAUGAAGGGAGCUUGCUCCUGGAUUCAGCGGCGGACGGGUGAGUAAUGCCUAGGAAUCUGCCUGGUAGUGGGGGAUAACGUCCGGAAACGGGCGCUAAUACCGCAUACGUCCUGAGGGAGAAAGUGGGGGAUCUUCGGACCUCACGCUAUCAGAUGAGCCUAGGUCGGAUUAGCUAGUUGGUGGGGUAAAGGCCUACCAAGGCGACGAUCCGUAACUGGUCUGAGAGGAUGAUCGGUCACACGGGAACUGAGCCACGGUCCAGACUCCUACGGGAGGCAGCAGUGGGGAAUAUUGGACAGUGGGCGAAAGCCUGCUCCAGCCAUGCCGCGUGUGUGAAGAAGGUCUUCGGAUUGUAAAGCACUUUAAGUUGGGAGAAAGGGCAGUAAGUUAAUACCUUGCUGUUUUGACGUUACCAACAGAAUAAGCACCGGCUAACUUCGUG
Molecule: ribosomal RNA, 484 nt
Filed under: uncultured bacterium
Lineage: Bacteria
Description: partial 16S ribosomal RNA
Rfam family: Bacterial small subunit ribosomal RNA
Source: RNAcentral